UACGUAGGGUGCGAGCGUUAAUCGGAAUUACUGGGCGUAAAGCGUGCGCAGGCGGUUUUGUAAGACAGGUGUGAAAUCCCCGGGCUUAACCUGGGAACUGCAUUUGUGACUGCAAGGCUAGAGUGUAGCAGAGGGGGGUAGAAUUCCACGUGUAGCAGUGAAAUGCGUAGAUAUGUGGAGGAAUACCGAUGGCGAAGGCAGCCCCCUGGGCUAGCACUGACGCUCAUGCACAAAAGCGUGGGGAGCAAACAGG
Molecule: ribosomal RNA, 253 nt
Filed under: uncultured bacterium
Lineage: Bacteria
Description: partial 16S ribosomal RNA
Rfam family: Bacterial small subunit ribosomal RNA
Source: RNAcentral